AAGCGUGCGCAGGCGGUUAUGUAAGACAGAUGUGAAAAUCCCCGGGCUCAACCUGGGAACUGCAUUUGUGACUGCAUGGCUAGAGUACGGAGAGGGGGAUGGAAUUCCGCGUGUAGCAGUGAAAAUGCGUAGAUAUGCGGAGGAACACCGAUGGCGAAGGCAAUCCCCUGGACCUGUACUGACGCUCAUGCACGAAAGCGUGGGGAGCAAACAGGAUUAGAUACCCUGGU
RNAcentral lists this ribosomal RNA (230 nucleotides) under uncultured bacterium. RNAcentral describes it as "partial 16S ribosomal RNA". It matches the Rfam family "Bacterial small subunit ribosomal RNA", at positions 563 to 791 of the family's 1533-position model. The record is from RNAcentral.